This 274-nucleotide ribosomal RNA is filed under the name uncultured bacterium. Its description in RNAcentral is "partial 16S ribosomal RNA". It matches the Rfam family "Bacterial small subunit ribosomal RNA", at positions 523 to 796 of the family's 1533-position model. The record is from RNAcentral.
AUACGGAGGUUGCAAGCGUUACUCGGAAUCACUGGGCGUAAAGCGCGCGCAGGCGGUCUUUUAAGUUGGAUGUGAAAGCCUACGGCUCAACCGUAGAACUGCAUCCAAAACUGUCAGUCUAGAGUCUGGGAGGGGAAGAUGGAAUUAGUUGUGUAGGGGUAAAAUCCGUAGAGAUAACUAGGAAUACCAAAAGCGAAGGCAAUCUUCUGGAACACUACUGACGCUGAGGCGCGAAAGCGUGGGGAGCAAACAGGAUUAGAAACCCCAGUAGUCC